This 782-nucleotide ribosomal RNA is filed under the name unidentified microorganism. RNAcentral's name for it is "bacterial SSU rRNA". It matches the Rfam family "Bacterial small subunit ribosomal RNA", at positions 76 to 852 of the family's 1533-position model. The record is from RNAcentral.
GUGCUUGCACCUGAUGGCGAGUGGCGAACGGGUGAGUAAUACAUCGGAACGUACCAAGUAAUGGGGGAUAACUACUCGAAAGAGUGGCUAAUACCGCAUACGCCCUAAGGGGGAAAGCAGGGGAUCUUCGGACCUUGCGUUAUUUGAGCGGCCGAUGUCUGAUUAGCUAGUUGGUGGGGUAAGAGCCUACCAAGGCGACGAUCAGUAGCGGGUCUGAGAGGAUGAUCCGCCACACUGGGACUGAGACACGGCCCAGACUCCUACGGGAGGCAGCAGUGGGGAAUUUUGGACAAUGGGCGAAAGCCUGAUCCAGCCAUGCCGCGUGUAUGAAGAAGGCCUUCGGGUUGUAAAGUACUUUUGUUAGGGAAGAAAAGCUUAUUGCUAAUAUCAGUGAGCCAUGACGGUACCUAAAGAAUAAGCACCGGCUAACUACGUGCCAGCAGCCGCGGUAAUACGUAGGGUGCAAGCGUUAAUCGGAAUUACUGGGCGUAAAGCGAGCGCAGGCGGUUAUUUAAGUCAGGUGUGAAAGCCCCGAGCUCAACUUGGGACGUGCAUUUGAAACUGGAUAACUAGAGUGUGUCAGAGGGGGGUAGAAUUCCACGUGUAGCAGUGAAAUGCGUAGAGAUGUGGAGGAAUACCGAUGGCGAAGGCAGCCCCCUGGGAUAACACUGACGCUCAUGCUCGAAAGCGUGGGUAGCAAACAGGAUUAGAUACCCUGGUAGUCCACGCCCUAAACGAUGUCAAUUAGCUGUUGGGAGAUUAAAAGCUCUUGGUAGCGUAGC